UGGCAUUUGGAAAAUGCUUCCAGGGAUGAACCAGACUUGUGGAGGUCUACAAUUCUUUCCUGAGGUCUUGGCUGAUUUCUUUGGAUUUUCCCAUGAUGUGAGGCAUGAUAAUGAGGCACUGAGUUUGAAGGUUUCACCAUGGAGAGCGGAAUCCUUAUCUGGUCUCUCCUGUUGUUCUUUACCCUGACUACCCUCUAUUCAUACCCUAAUAAAACCCUCAACUCAAUCCAAGAUCUAAAGGACUUAGAUUUUGAUUAUCCCAUCCCCCCACCUUGGCUCAGUUUGCUCUACUGGCUCACCAGCAACAUCAACUACAUAGACAACAACAACUACAUAGUAAUGGAGAGUGUGAUGAUUUGAAGAUUAAGCUGGAGGUAAAGACAACAAGUGAAGGGACAGCCAGGAUCAGCUGGGAUGACAUCCCUAAGAAGCACUUGAACCGGGAUGUGUUUGUGGUGCUUUAUCAGAACAAGGACAGUGAGAUCCAGCUAGCCAACACCAAGAUAAUCGAGGCCUCUGGGAACUUCAACACCACUGAAGCGCUGAAUCCCGGCCUGCAGGUCAGCCUUCACAAGAGCAAAACCAACUGGAAGAGACCGCAAAUUGCCGGGGAGGAGCUCUGGAGAGGUCUUGAGUUUCACGACACCAACAGGGAGAUUCCUGUUGACAUAAGAGGUUAUGACGCCAGUCUGCAGCUCUACGUUAAAGACAGCAAGGCCAGCGCUCACCUGUACGUCAGGAACUCUUUCACUGACUAUAUGGAUGUGUUUAAGAGCUCCUGGGUUGGUUUCUACUCCAAUGGAAACACAAGUGUUAUACGUGGCAGUGUAUUUCUCCAAGGAAACCCGCUCGGACAUACCAGAGUAUGAUGUCUAUGUGUAUCAGUCUCAUCGAGCCAUGUCUCUUGAUGUCCAGGCUAGAUUCAUACUGGAUGACAAUGAAAUGGCCCGUACUCUACCCUGGGAAAUACAGAGACCUGCUGAUAGUAAGUCUCCUGUUGAUAUAAACGGUUAGGAUGCCCUUCUGCAGCUCUUCGUUAAAGGCAACAAGGCCUGUGCUCGCCUGUACAUUAAGAAGUCCUCUGACUGGGAGAGUAAGUUUUACUACUCCUAGGUUGGUUUCUACUCCAACGAAAAUAAAGCCACCACGGAGUAUGAUAACAAUAGGUGGCAAUGGACCAAUAAAUUCUCCAAGGAAAUUCAGUCUGACAUACCAGACUAUGAUGCUUAUGUAUACCAGUUUGGUAGGACCAUGUCUCCUGGUGUCCAGGCCAGAUUCCCACUGUCUGACAAGAUUGAAAAGGACCGUACUCUACCUUGGAAGAAUUAGGGCUUGAUUCAAUCUGUAUAGCUGAAGUUCAGCGCUAAUGCGCAAUAUAUAUUCAAAGGUAAUUUGCGAUUGAGCCCACAUUAUGCAGCAUUUACCGUGAAUGACGUCUCCGCGAACAGAACGUUGCUUUAAAAUGUUUUUUUUUUGCGCAUUAGCGCUUACUUCAGUGAUACAUGAUUGAAUAGAAUUUACAGUGCAUCCGGAAAGUAUUCAGACCCCUUGACUUUUUCAACAUUUUGUUACGUUACAUUCUUAUUCUAAAUUGGAUUCAAUCGUUUUUCCCCCCCAUCAGUCUACACACAAUACCCCAUAAUAAGGCAAAAACAGGUCUUUAGGCAUUUUUGCAAAUGUAUAAAAAUAAAAAUAAACUGAAAUAUAACAUUUACAUAAGUAUUCAGACCUUUUACUCAAAUCAAAUCAAACUUGAUUUGCCACAUGCACCGAAUACAACAAGUGUAGACUUUACCGUGAAACGCUUACUUACAAGCCCUUAACCAACAGUGCAGUUCAAGAAGAACAAAAUAUUUACCAAGUAGGCUAAAAGAAAAAGUAAUAAUAAAAAGUAACACAAUAAGAAUAACAAUAAUGAGGCUAUAUACAGGGGCACCAGUACCAGGGGUACAGGCUAGUUGAGGUAAUCUGUACAUGAAGGUGGGGGUGAAGUGACUAUGCAUAGGUAACAAACAAACAGCGAGUAGCAGCAGUAUACAAGGGGGGUGUCAAUGUAAAUUGUCUGGAGAUGAUUUUUAUCAAAUCAAAUCAAAUCAAAUUUAUUUAUAUAGCCCUUCGUACAUCAGCUGAUAUCUCAAAGUGCUGUACAGAAACCCAGCCUAAAACCCCAAACAGCAAGCAAUGCAGGUGUAGAAGCACGGUGGCUAGGAAAAACUCCCUAGAAAGGCCAAAACCUAGGAAGAAACCUAGAGAGGAACCAGGCUAUGUGGGGUGGCCAGUCCUCUUCUGGCUGUGCCGGGUGGAGAUUAUAACAGAACAUGGCCAAGAUGUUCAAAUGUUCAUAAAUGACCAGUAUGGUUGAAUAAUAAUAAGGCAGAACAGUUGAAACUGGAGCAGCAGCACGGUCAGGUGGACUGGGGACAGCAAGGAGUCAUCAUGUCAGGUAGUCCUGGGGCAUGGUCCUAGGGCUCAGGUCAGUUGAAACUGGAGCAUUUAUGAAUUUUAUGAAUUGUUCAGCAGACUAAUGGCUUGGGGGUAGAAGCUAUUGAGGAGCCUUUUGGUCCUAGGCUUGGCACUCCAGGACCGCUUGCCGUGCGGUAGCAGAGAAAACAGUCUAUAACUUGGGUGACUGGAGUCUCUGACAAUUUUCUGGGCUUUCUUCUAAGUACCUUGUUCUAGCACCUUUGGCAGCAAUUACAGUCUUCUUGGGUAUGACGCUAUAAGUUUGGCACACCUGUAUUUGGGGAGUUUCUCCCAUUCUUCUUUGCAGAUCCUCUCAAGCUCUGUCAGGUUGGAUGAGGAGCAUCGACUGCACAGCUAUUUACAGGUCUCUCCAGAGAUGUUUGAUCGGGUUCAAGUUUACUCCUGUGUUGUCUUGGCUAUGUGCUUAGGAUAGUUGUCCUGUUGGAAGGUGAAUCUUAGCCCCAGUCUGAGGUCCUGAGUGCUCUGGAGCAGGUUUUCAUCAAGGAUCUUUCUGUACUUUGCUCUGUUCAUCUUUUCCUCAAUGCUGAUUAGUCUCCCAGUCCCUGUCACUGAAAAACAGUCAUGCCCACAGCAUGAUGCUGCCAUCACCAUGCUUCACUGUAGGGAUAGUAUCAGGUUUCCUCCAGACGUGACACUUGGCCUUCAGGCCAAAGAGUUCAAUCUUAGUUUCAUCAGACCAGAGAAGCUUGUAGGUGCAUGUUCCUUUUACUGAUAAAUGGCUUCCAUCUGGCCACUCUACCAUAAAGGCCUGAUUGGUGGAGUGCUGCAGUAAUGGUUGUCCUUCUGGAAGGUUCUCCCAUCUCCACAGAGGAAUUCUGCAGCUCUGUCAGAGUGACUAUCGGGUUCUUGGCCACAUCCCUGACCAAUGCCCUUCUCCCCCGAUUGCUCAGUUUGGCCAGGCGGCCAGCUCUAGGAAGAGUCUUGGUGGUACCAAACUUCUUCUAUUUGAGAAUGAUAGAGGCCACUGUGUUCUUUGGUACCUUCAAUGCUGCAGACAUUUUUGGGUACCCUUCACCAGAUCUGUGCCUCGACACAAUCCUGUCUCGGAGCUCUACGGACAAUUCCUUCAACCUCAUGACUUGGUUUUUGCUCUGACAUGCACUGGUUUUAAAAACAUGUUUUCACUUUGUCAUUAUGGGGUAUUGUGUAUAGAUUGAAGAGGGAAAAAAACAUAUUUAGUCCAUUUUAGAAUAAGGCUGUAAUGUAAAAAAAAUGUGGAAAAAGUCAAGGGGUCUGAAUACUUUCUGAAUGCACUGUAUAUUGCGCAUUAGCUUUAACUUCAGCGAUACAUGAUUGAAUAAAGCUCUUAGAGGAGUAGCUUAGUGAGAGAGUUGAGCUGUAGACAGAGAAUCAACAGAUCUCUAAACCAGUUCCCAACUGGCUCAUUCAAACCCUCUCCUCUUUCCUGUGACGUUUUCAUUUCUACCUUUUCAACAACAACAAACAUUUAAGCAUUAGAAUGAUUAGAACGUGGUCUUUUUUUAAAGUAACUUAUCUAUUCAGAAUGUGCAAGUGUGUGAGAAAUGUAUGCUUGCUACAAGGACAAUAAGUAAUCGCAGAUUAUCCUUGUAUAACUUUUUAAAAUCCUUUAAUAGAUUUAUUUCAUUUUUUAUGUUUUUCUAUCUCAGGACUACAUGUGUUUUACUCUCAUUAUAAUCAUAUUGCAUUAACUGUUUAUCUGAUGUUAAUUUUGUAUUUGGAGCAUAUUUGUAUUAAAUCUUAAUAUCAC
Oncorhynchus tshawytscha (Chinook salmon) is the source of this 4213-nucleotide long non-coding RNA. The record is from Ensembl. NCBI's taxonomy places the organism in Eukaryota, Metazoa, Chordata, Actinopteri, Salmoniformes, Salmonidae.